RNAcentral lists this ribosomal RNA (381 nucleotides) under Loewiola centaureae. RNAcentral's name for it is "partial 12S ribosomal RNA". Lineage: Eukaryota; Metazoa; Arthropoda; Insecta; Diptera; Cecidomyiidae. The record is from RNAcentral.
UAUUAUUAUUAAUUUUAUUAAAUAAUUAAUAUAAUUAAUUAAAAAAUUAAAUAAAUUGGCAGUAUUUUUAAAAAUUAGAGGAUUUUGUUUAUUAAUAGAUAAUACACUAUAAAAUAAACUUAAAUUAAUUAAAUUAUAUAUUGUUGUCAUAAAAUAAUAUUUUUAAAUUAUUAUUAAAAUAUUUUAUAAAAUUAAAUGUCAAAUCAAAAUAUAUUUAAUAUUUAAGAAUAAAAUGAAAUACAAUUAAUUUAUUAAAUUAGAUUUAAUAUUGUAAAAUAUUAAUAAAAUUGGAUUUAAAAAUAAAUUAUUAUAAAUAUAAUUAUUGAAUGAUUUUAAAAAUAGGUACAUAUUGCCCGUCGCUUUUAAUUUAAAUUAAAAUAA